UACGAAGGGUGCAAGCGUUACUCGGAAUUACUGGGCGUAAAGCGUGCGUAGGUGGUUUGUUAAGUCUGUUGUGAAAGCCCCGGGCUCAACCUGGGAAUGGCAAUGGAUACUGGCAGGCUAGAGUGCGGUAGAGGGUAGUGGAAUUCCCGGUGUAGCGGUGAAAUGCGUAGAGAUCGGGAGGAACACCAGUGGCGAAGGCGGCUACCUGGACCAGCACUGACACUGAGGCACGAAAGCGUGGGUAGCGAACAGGG
Molecule: ribosomal RNA, 254 nt
Filed under: uncultured bacterium
Lineage: Bacteria
Description: partial 16S ribosomal RNA
Rfam family: Bacterial small subunit ribosomal RNA
Source: RNAcentral